This is a long non-coding RNA of Brassica oleracea var. oleracea, 624 nucleotides long. RefSeq lists it as uncharacterized. The transcript has 4 exons. The record is from RefSeq and is a predicted model, not a curated record. Lineage: Eukaryota; Viridiplantae; Streptophyta; Magnoliopsida; Brassicales; Brassicaceae.
ACUUUUUCUCACAUAAUUUUUUAGUAUCUCUCCUCUUCGUCUUUCUCUCUUUUUUCUUCUCUCACGAGACUUGAUCUCUCUUUCUCGAUCUCACGAGACCAUCAUCGAUCACGACAUCGAUCAAUCCUUUUGGGUCAUUGCUUUUGGGUUAUCGAUCACAACACGUCAACUCAUCUUCCGAUUUGACCUUAUGGUUCACUGAUUUUGGGUGAAUCAAACUCUAUUUUUCUUCAAUUUGAUCUUGUGGGUCACUGAUUUUGCUGAUUUGGGAUCGAUUUUGAAGUGAAUUUUUCUGGGUUUGAAAGUGACCUUUGUCCUUCUUGAGUAAUGAUUGAAGCUAUUCAUGUUUAGUAUCCGACUGUUGCCUAGUAAUGUCCAAGAUCUAUUGUGUACUCGGUCUUGGAUAUAUGGUUAUAUGCUUGAUGAUGAAGAUGAUAAUGGCGAAGGUGAGACUGUUGUAAUUAGAUCGAGGCCAACUGAUGUUGAAGACGUGAUCACGCAUCCACCAGAAUAAGUCUCAUUUAUUGUUCUUGAUCUCUAACAGGUUUACCUCGAGCUCCCCAAUGGUAAAGAAUUAGCUUAAGCACUCUACUCUAAGCAAUCAGUCUUUGCGAGUACAGAUUA